Molecule: long non-coding RNA, 357 nt
Filed under: Dermacentor andersoni
Lineage: Eukaryota; Metazoa; Arthropoda; Arachnida; Ixodida; Ixodidae
Description: uncharacterized LOC126538410
Source: RNAcentral
AGCCACACUGGCAAAACACCACGCCCUGCGGAUGAAUACGGAAGAAAUGUAUGCUAAAGAAAAAUGGCCGUCAUGCAAUUUCAUAGCAGUAGACCUUUGUGAAAGCUGUACAGGAACACUGAUAUUGGUUACGUGGUGCAGAUUCGUAGCGUUUCUGAGGUGCUUGUGCGCAAGGAUCGGUAAUGUCGGAUAGCUGCUCUGUGACCGAUGAAGAACAGCGUGCCCGUGAGGAUCACCUUUGCAAACAGAAGCAGGAGUGGGCACGAAAGCAUCGGCGACCAAUUGCAGUAUAUCACAGUGACCACAAAGCAAUGGUUACCAUGGUGACAAAGUAAAUAGAAUAUCAAAGAUAACGAA